RNAcentral lists this ribosomal RNA (460 nucleotides) under uncultured bacterium. Its description in RNAcentral is "partial 16S ribosomal RNA". It matches the Rfam family "Bacterial small subunit ribosomal RNA", at positions 338 to 795 of the family's 1533-position model. The record is from RNAcentral.
CCUACGGGUGGCAGCAGUGAGGAAUAUUGGUCAAUGGACGCAAGUCUGAACCAGCCAUGCCGCGUGCAGGAUGACGGCUCUAUGAGUUGUAAACUGCUUUUGUAGGGGAGUAAACCCCGGUACGUGUAUCGGGUUGAAGGUAUCGUACGAAUAAGGAUCGGCUAACUCCGUGCCAGCAGCCGCGGUAAUACGGAGGAUCCGGGCGUUAUCCGGAUUUAUUGGGUUUAAAGGGUGCGUAGGCGGUGUGAUAAGUUAGAGGUGAAAUGUCGGGGGUCAACCCCGGAACUGCCUCUAAUACUGGCGGACUAGAGAAGAGGUGAGGUAGGCGGAAUGCAUGGUGUAGCGGUGAAAUGCUUAGAGAUCAUACAGAACACCGAUUGCGAAGGCAGCUUACCAAACUAUAACUGACGUUGAGGCACGAAAGCGUGGGUAGCAAACAGGAUUAGAUACCCGUGUAGUC